Molecule: long non-coding RNA, 1030 nt
Organism: Papaver somniferum (opium poppy)
Lineage: Eukaryota; Viridiplantae; Streptophyta; Magnoliopsida; Ranunculales; Papaveraceae
Exons: 7
Source: RefSeq, a predicted model, not a curated record
GAAAAUUAAUAAAUGUUCACCAAAUAAGAAGAAGAAAGAAAUUAAAUCGAGACCGAGGGCAUUCAAAAUUCUCUCUUCGACUCCGGGCGUUCAAAAAGAGGAACAAAAAAAGAGUAACUGUUGAAAAACAAGUAGUCUUCAAGAUGCUGCUAUUAUACUGCCAAUAAUUGGUGUCUAGCCAAAGCCGAAAAUUUUGAGAUUCCCAAUGGCUCCAUCCAGUACUUUGUAGAAAGUGUGGCUAGGAGAUUUUUCCUGUUGAGAAGUUUCCUCCACCAGCCAUUUGUACUCUCCAAGGUUGCAAAGUAGAAAGUUCAAUCCAAUAAGGAGUUUCGCCAUAGCUUAUUGGAAAAUAAGUUUAGGUGGGCAACUUGGCCGAGGUUAUCAUUUACAUUUGGUUUCCUCUUUUUCCCUGUUGCCGAUAUGCUAGCUGGCGAUGCAUAAUUAGAAUAAAAAAGUAACUGAAGCUAUUCAGAAGGUUGCUGCUGCCUGUGACUGCAAGAUUGUUGAAGGUGUGCUUAGCCAUCAGUUCAAGCAGUUUGUGAUAGGUGGAAACAAGGUUGUCCCAAGUGUUCCAAGUCCCGAUACCAGGGCAUGAUGAUGCAGAUUUUCUGGAAAAUGAAGUUUAAGCAAUUGACAUAGUCGCCAGUACAGGAGAAGACAAGCCUAGGAUGUUAGAUGAGAGGCAAACUAUUGCAUGCAUAAGAGCGGUGGACCAGGUUUAUCAGUUGAAGAUGAAGGCAUUUAGGUUCAUCUUCAGCGAAAUUAGCCAGAACUUGCCCAUCAAGCCAUUUUCAGCUAGGGCUUUGGAAUAGAAGCGUGCCCGGCCUGGAUUAGUUGAAUGUGCCAAUCAUGAACUUUUGCAGCCCUAACCUGUACUUCAUGAGAAGCCUGUUCCCAAUGAAAAAAGUACAAUACAUUGGCGAGCGCAAGCUCCACCGUUGCAAUUCCCAUGUGAAUUCCUGGGCAUCCCCUUCGGCCUCCUCCAAACGGCAAGAGCUCGUAAGAUUGUCCUCGGAAAUCGAUGUCACCA